This 1248-nucleotide long non-coding RNA is filed under the name Urocitellus parryii (Arctic ground squirrel). Its description in RNAcentral is "lncRNA (ENSUPAG00010006880.1)". Lineage: Eukaryota; Metazoa; Chordata; Mammalia; Rodentia; Sciuridae. The record is from RNAcentral.
CCUGCAGGAAGCAAUCCAAGGCCUGCUGGCAGGCACAGGGAAGGACUUGAGGCAGUAAAAUGGUGCCUGUUCUGAUCACCUGUUGGGUUAGGGCUCUUAGCCCUCGACAAAAGGUGAUAUGAGACCUGCAGCCAGGCAGUAGGACAGUCCACUUGCCAAUACAGUUCCUCAUUCAAGUUUGUGUUGGCRCUCAAGUUAAAAAGUCAUCCUUUAUUUCUUCCCCCUCUUCCACCAAAAAUAAAUAGAAGAGCCCAAGUGCUCUGGGACUCCCACAGAAGCCUGGCAGGUUUGCUGACACUGAACUUGAGCUCUUACCAUGAGAAUGCAGGCCCCAGAGUGGUAUGAAGAUUAUUAUUCUAUAAAUGGAAAAUUCCACCGUGAUCCUGCAGCCUGCAUACCUCCAAGGGAUACAGACUUUUUGAGUUCUGAAGAGUGGGAACCAUCAUUCUGAGAAAAAGUUCAGCAAGGAAAGUUUAAAACUACUGUUUCUGCUCCCUCUGGGUCAGGCCCAACGAAGGAAGGCAAACAAAUGGAGACCUUCUUUCUUGCCCCACAUGGUUCUUAUGUGAUGGAAUGAAGAGAAUAGGAACUUGGAUAUGAACUUGAAUAAGAACAAAUGCCUUGCUGGGGACUUGCAGCCUGAGUGAGUGGGCAGUGGUGACAGGACAGAAAUGCCCCAGAAAGAAGUGGAAGGAACAAGUGUGUUCUGGAGUCUGGCCACGUGCUAUUUCCGGGGCUGCUCACCUUGCUUGUUGUCACCGUUGCCCACUGUCAAGCAGGCAWUUGGCCCAAAAGGAAAGUCUGAAAGUGGAAGCAAAGCAUGAAGAUGUUUGUCACGGGCACRUGCUGGGCAUAGUACCCUGGAAGCCUUUGCUGUUAGUCACCAUAGAAGGGGCAAAGUGGCAGCUGCUCCAGCUCUGGGAGUCUGGAACAAAACAGGUGGAAGUAGCCAGGGUGUGGACAUUUCUCCAGAGGACACCCUCAGACAGUCAAGGCAAGAAGACAGUUCCCUGGGAAGGUUCUGGGUGAUGGAGUUGCCUUUCAGGAUGCUGGAUGCAUUGUCAGGGCCCAUCGCGUCCAGGUGGGUGGCAUUUGCUAAUGACUAGCUCCCUUCUGGAACCAAAGAAAAGUGCAGCACGUGUCUCCGAGCCCUGCAGAGAAUCCUGACCACCUGGCUGUGCUUGGGAGGUGCCCACUUCAUCUCGCAGCCAGAGAUAAAGUGAAGGGCCGUCUCCCUGUGCAGCCCAG